Haliotis rubra (blacklip abalone) is the source of this 365-nucleotide long non-coding RNA. RefSeq lists it as uncharacterized. Lineage: Eukaryota; Metazoa; Mollusca; Gastropoda; Lepetellida; Haliotidae. The transcript is spliced from 2 exons. The record is from RefSeq and is a predicted model, not a curated record.
GGUUCAUUUCCCAGGGUUCCACCUGAGACUUCAGGUUUAUUUCCCAGGGUUCCACCUGAGACUUCAGGUUAAUUUCCCAGGGUUCCACCUGAGACUUCAGGUUUAUUUCCCAGGGUUCCACCUGAGACUUCAGGUUUAUUUCCCAGGGUUCCACCAGGUUUAUUUCCCAGGGUUCCACCUGACACUUCAGGGUCAUCCUGUCAAGUUCAUGUGUUAUGAGAUUAUGAGAUCAUUGUACUAAAUAUGACCCUCAUGUUUGUUAUAUUGAUUAGAUAUUCUCUUCCGUCCAAUGUUUACAAACCUGUUUGUGCUUACUGUGACAUUUCCAUUGUAUUUUUGUAAAUAAACUACAUAUUAUAAUUUAA